RNAcentral lists this long non-coding RNA (215 nucleotides) under Elaeis guineensis (African oil palm). RNAcentral describes it as "long non-coding RNA (EGUI_LNC074360)". The record is from RNAcentral. Lineage: Eukaryota; Viridiplantae; Streptophyta; Magnoliopsida; Arecales; Arecaceae.
GAUGUGUCAGUCAAACUCCAGCAACCUCAUUGCGAGCAGUAGUAUCAUCCCAGAUCAAAGGAGCAGUCAUACAACUACAGCAUCAAGAAAGUCACUAACGAGUGAGCAGACAUCCAUGUAACUUCUCGUGUUGGCUACGCUUAGUGCCAGUUGUUCUCUAACAACCACCUACACUCUCGCUCCAGUGUCUGUACACUACAGACUCGACACCCAUC